Molecule: long non-coding RNA, 498 nt
Filed under: Musa acuminata (dwarf banana)
Lineage: Eukaryota; Viridiplantae; Streptophyta; Magnoliopsida; Zingiberales; Musaceae
Description: long non-coding RNA (MACU_LNC009251)
Source: RNAcentral
UUGAAGAUGUUGGACCUACCAUAUAUACAAUGCAUACAUUAGCCGGCUACUCUAACCCGCAAACUAUGAAAGUUGGCGAAACUUUAGAACAUCAGCCUGUUAUAGUCUUGAUUGAUACUGGUAGCGCUAACAAUUUUAUGGACAGUGAGACUGUUGACCGAUUGGCCCACCACAUUGAAGACGAUGACAAAUUCGAAGUAAAGAUCGUUGAUGGACGGAUUUUCACUUGUGAUAGCAAAGGUUCGAAGAUAAAAUUAAUUAUACAGGGCCAGAAGUUUCAUGCAAUGAUUGCUACAUUGAAAGACCGACUUGUUGCUUACACUAUCAAAAAGUGGAGAUCAUACUUACUUGAUCAACGGGUUGUGAUGCGUUGCAGAUAGUCUAUGGCUAAAGUGCUGAAAGAGAAGCUCCCAGAGAUUGAUGCUGCUCAGCCUUGAGGACAAGGCUGAUUUGAAGAGGGAGGAACUGUUAGGACCCUUUUUCUAAGCUUUUGUAUAA